AGUGAACGCUGGCGGUAGGCCUAACACAUGCAAGUCGAACGGCAGCACAGUAAGAGCUUGCUCUUACGGGUGGCGAGUGGUGGACGGGUGAGGAAUACAUCGGAAUCUACUUUUUCGUGGGGGAUAACGUAGGGAAACUUACGCUAAUACCGCAUACGACCUACGGGUGAAAGCAGGGGAUCUUCGGACCUUGCGCGAUUGAAUGAGCCGAUGUCGGAUUAGCUAGUUGGCGGGGUAAAGGCCCACCAAGGCGACGAUCCGUAGCUGGUCUGAGAGGAUGAUGAGCCACACUGGAACUGAGACACGGUCCAGACUCCUACGGGAGGCAGCAGUGGGGAAUAUUGGACAAUGGGCGCAAGCCUGAUCCAGCCAUACCGCGUGGGUGAAGAAGGCCUUCGGGUUGUAAAGCCCUUUUGUUGGGAAAGAAAAGCAGCAGGUUAAUACCCCGCUGUUCUGACGGUACCCAAAGAAUAAGCACCGGCUAACUUCGUG
This 492-nucleotide ribosomal RNA is filed under the name uncultured bacterium. RNAcentral's name for it is "partial 16S ribosomal RNA". It matches the Rfam family "Bacterial small subunit ribosomal RNA", at positions 29 to 507 of the family's 1533-position model. The record is from RNAcentral.